Molecule: long non-coding RNA, 100 nt
Organism: Sander lucioperca (pikeperch)
Lineage: Eukaryota; Metazoa; Chordata; Actinopteri; Perciformes; Percidae
Exons: 3
Source: RefSeq, a predicted model, not a curated record
CGUCUGUGUUGCGAGUCGCCUAGGAACAACAACACAGUUGCUUGGCAGUCAUUCUCUGUCGCAAAUUUGAAAUUAACUAAUGUGAAUCAAUAAAGGAGAG